RNAcentral lists this ribosomal RNA (447 nucleotides) under uncultured bacterium. Its description in RNAcentral is "partial 16S ribosomal RNA". It matches the Rfam family "Bacterial small subunit ribosomal RNA", at positions 29 to 523 of the family's 1533-position model. The record is from RNAcentral.
AACGAACGCUGGCGGCAGGCUUAACACAUGCAAGUCGAACGCCCCGCAAGGGGAGUGGCAGACGGGUGAGUAACGCGUGGGAAUCUACCCAUCUCUGCGGAAUAGCUGUGGGAAACUGGAAUUAAUACCGCAUACGCCCUACGGGGGAAAGAUUUAUCGGGGAGGGAUGAGCCCGCGUUGGAUUAGCUAGUUGGUGGGGUAAAGGCCGACCAAGGCGACGAUCCAUAGCUGGUCUGAGAGGAUGAUCAGCCACAUUGGGACUGAGACACGGCCCAAACUCCUACGGGAGGCAGCAGUGGGGAAUAUUGGACAAUGGGCGCAAGCCUGAUCCAGCCAUGCCGCGUGAGUGAUGAAGGCCUCAGGGUUGUAAAGCUCUUUCACCGAUGAAGAUAAUGACGGUAGUCGGAGAAGAAGCCCCGGCUAACUUCGUGCCAGCCGCCGCCGUAA